RNAcentral lists this ribosomal RNA (478 nucleotides) under uncultured bacterium. RNAcentral describes it as "partial 16S ribosomal RNA". It matches the Rfam family "Bacterial small subunit ribosomal RNA", at positions 28 to 523 of the family's 1533-position model. The record is from RNAcentral.
GACGAACGUUGGCGGCGUGCUUAACACAUGCAAGUCGAACGGUAAGGCCCUUCGGGGGACACGAGUGGCGAACGGGUGAGUAACACGUGGGUGAUCUGCCCUGCACUUCGGGAUAAGCCUGGGAAACUGGGUCUAAUACCGGAUAGGACCACUGCCUGCAUGGGUGGUGGUGGAAAGCUUUUGCGGUGUGGGAUGGGCCCGCGGCCUAUCAGCUUGUUGGUGGGGUGAUGGCCUACCAAGGCGACGACGGGUAGCCGGCCUGAGAGGGUGACCGGCCACACUGGGACUGAGAUACGGCCCAGACUCCUACGGGAGGCAGCAGUGGGGAAUAUUGCACAAUGGGCGCAAGCCUGAUGCAGCGACGCCGCGUGAGGGAUGACGGCCUUCGGAUUGUAAACCUCUUUCAGCACCGACGAAGCGCAAGUGACGGUAGGUGCAGAAGAAGGACCGGCCAACUACGUGCCAGCCGCCGCGGUAA